RNAcentral lists this long non-coding RNA (548 nucleotides) under Ananas comosus (pineapple). RNAcentral's name for it is "long non-coding RNA (ACOM_LNC011825)". Lineage: Eukaryota; Viridiplantae; Streptophyta; Magnoliopsida; Poales; Bromeliaceae. The record is from RNAcentral.
GUCUUUUUAUAAUGAAGCUCGCCUUUAUAUUUUUAUUUUACUAAAAAUUAAAUAAUAAAAAUAUAUUAUAUAUAUAUAUAUAAUUAUUUAUUUAUAUAUAAAUAUAAAUUAUAUAAAUAUAAAAUAUAUGUAUUCUAGCUGUUAUCUAGCCGAACACGAGCGAGCUGACCUCAGCUUGUGUUCGACUCGUUUAUUAAACGAGCCGAAAAAUUCAGCUCGUGUUUGGCUUAUUUACUAAAUGAGCGAUUUGAUCUUGAGCUCAUUUCGAACCGAACACGAGCUGGCUCGCGAACAGCAAGCUGAAUUGCCACCCCUACUCGACGUAUUUCAAAAACUCAUAUCUAAACCCGAAACUGACCAAUUUUCUGAAACCGAAAACCGAAUCCAAACUCGAAGACCGGAACCUUAAACAAUUAUUUCUCUUUACCAUAUUUCAAAAUAUUUUAUAUUAAAUUUAAAAUUUUAAAAUAUAAAUUCGAAUAUAAUAUUAAACUUUAUAUAUGAUUCGGGUUGGAUUCAAAAUGGAUAUAGACAAAUUUCAUAGUUGG